GAUGAAGAACGCAGUGAAAUGCGAUAUGUAGUGUGAAUUGCAGAAUUCAGUGAAUCAUCGAGUUUUUGAACGCAUAUUGCGCCCUCUGGUAUUCCGGGGGGCAUGCCUGUUCGAGCGUCAUUAAAUAACCCUCAAGCAUAGCUUGGUGUUGGGCUUUUUUACGUCCUUGACUGGGAUGGGCCUAAAAAUUAGUGGCGAUGGCUUUUUUACUUUCAAGCGUAGUAAAUCUCGUCUUGCUAAAGAGGAAAAAGAUUUUUUUUCUGCCAAAAAUUUUAACAUUUAAAGUUGACCUCGGAUCAGGUAGGAUUACCCGCUGAACUUAAGCAUAUCAAUAAGCGGAGGA
Molecule: unclassified non-coding RNA, 343 nt
Filed under: soil metagenome
Description: partial contains 5.8S ribosomal RNA, internal transcribed spacer 2, and large subunit ribosomal RNA
Rfam family: 5.8S ribosomal RNA (bases 1-120)
Source: RNAcentral